CACCGUGAGGUGGAAUCUGAAGGAAGUCCACGGCAAAGCCUCGGUCUGACGAACAGAAACUGCAUACAAGGCAUACUUGAAACGGACGAGUUUCCUACACAAAGCAAAGUCCAAUACUGCCCGAAUUUCAAGGUGUAAAUGCAGCAGAUAUAUGAGGUGAAGGUG
Molecule: non-coding RNA, 165 nt
Filed under: human gut metagenome
Source: RNAcentral